GACGAACGCUGGCGGCGUGCUUAACACAUGCAAGUCGAACGGAAAGGCCCUGCUCUUGUGGGGUGCUCGAGUGGCGAACGGGUGAGUAACACGUGAGUAACCUGUCCUUGUCUUUGGGAUAACUUCAGGAAACUGGGGCUAUUACCGGAUAGGAGCUCCUGCUGCACGGUGGGGGUUGGUAAGUUUCGGCGGUUGGGGCUGGACUCGCGGCUUAUCCGCUUGUUGGGGGGGUAGUUGCUUACAAAGGCUUUGACGGGUAGCCGGCCUGAGAGGGGUGACGGCGACAUGAGGACUAAGAGAGGGCCCAGAAUCCUACGGUAGGCAGCAGUGGGGAGUAUUGCACAAUGGGCGGAAGCCUGAUGCAGCAACGCCGCGAGCGGGAUGACGGCCUUCGAGUUGUAAACCGCUUUCGCCUGUGCCGAAGAGUGAGUGACGGUAAUGGGUAAAGAAGCACCGGCUAACUACGUG
This 468-nucleotide ribosomal RNA is filed under the name uncultured bacterium. Its description in RNAcentral is "partial 16S ribosomal RNA". It matches the Rfam family "Bacterial small subunit ribosomal RNA", at positions 28 to 507 of the family's 1533-position model. The record is from RNAcentral.